AUGCUUCUGCAAGAAGAUACGGCUACAGAAAAGGCUAAUGAAAUCUUGUCAACAGAUGCAGAGGCAUCACCUUGUGUUACAGACCAGAUAGACUUAAAUCCCACCUUAUACGAUUUCUUGUUAGUUCUUAUGGAAGACUGCAUUACUUUGUGUGUGGCGUGCUGCCUUAGCAAUACACCUGUCUAUCCAGAGAGGCGAUUUUUCUUCCGCGGCAUUGGAAAUGUCACCUUAAAUUGUCACUUGAAGGUAGAAUUGCUCCUGAGCCAAAUGAUACUGUAUAUAACUGCAAACAUCGUCUCCCCCAGGAGAGGUCCGGCGCCGUUCGGCAGCACCGCUCUGGCCCUGACAGCCAGUGCUCGCACCCCAGUCCUGCCAUUGAGGACUUGUAGCCAAAUUUAAAAGUUUGAAGUUCUCGCUUCACCUCUGGAGGGAUUUUACUCAAAUCCUCACAGCACCUCCUGCUUGCUUGAACAGGAAGUCGGACACCUACCCUUAACAUGAAUGGCCGCCCAGCAUCCAAGAGGAGCUACAAUGUGAUUUGAAUUCAUUUCUCUGGCAGACGCAUUCAAAACAAAGGAGUCGAGCUGACCUUUCCAGAACAACUUGUAUCAGGAAUACAGAUUCAGGAAGUCUUGGGUUUCCUUCCCCCUCACAUUUUAUCCCAUGGUAAGACCCCAAGUGCUCUGACCCUCUGCACAGAACACAAAGCAUUGUUUUCGCAGUUAAUUUGCAAAUGAGCAACGCUGACAAACAGCAUACAAAGCAUCCUUCAGGAACUGGGUCGUUUUUCCCCAUUAUCCUGGGAGUAAACCAACAGAAGAUCUCAUGCAGAGCAAGCAGAAGGAAGAGCUCAAUGUGGACCAGAUGCUCCACCAUGCGUACCUGAGUCCAUCCCGACAGCUUGGCACCGCUCCGCCAACCGCUGACCGGGGACAUCAGCUCCUAUCCAGGAACGCUGACAAAUCCCUUUCCCUUUCCAUUCUCACUCCUACGUUUCCAUUGGUAUUAUUUGUUCUGAAUUAAUUCACAGCUAAUCAACUACUUAACAAAGGAACAACACGCCAGACAGCAGCUUUUGCACUUGCUUCCUAAUCCUCAUAUAGUAAGCGUGUAUCCACUCCAUGUUUGGAGAGAAAGGUCAGUCAAUGGUUUGCACAGAAGAGAAAGAGACAGAAGAUCUCGAUCUCAUUCCUGAGUUUGCUACACCACUGGGCAAAGCACUGCCUGACCCAAACAACACAUCCAUAUAACAGGAAUAAUUAAACUACCAUUGACAAAGUCAAGCAAGUAAAGUGUUUUCUGAUCCCUGAUUGCCCAGCACUAUGAAAGAAUAAAGCGUACUGCUGCAGAGAGGAAAAUCA
This 1361-nucleotide long non-coding RNA is filed under the name Numida meleagris (helmeted guineafowl). RNAcentral's name for it is "lncRNA (ENSNMEG00000006066.1)". The record is from RNAcentral. Lineage: Eukaryota; Metazoa; Chordata; Aves; Galliformes; Numididae.